AUGUCCCAUUGUACCUUUGCCUUCAAGGUGAUCCUGCAAUUGGAGACGGUGUGACUCGUCAUGUUUUUGCAACAAUCAUGUCAAAACUCCAGCAUGGUUUUGAACUACAACUUGGUUAGUGACCUAUACAAUACAUGUUAUUUUUUCCCCGUUUUCUUAGGAUAACUUUAAAAGAAGUUUACAGAAAUUUGUUGGCAUUAACAGUUAACUACUUACCAUUGGCCUUAGGGUUGAUAUUUUAAAAGGUUUCUGCAUUUGUCUUUUGUAAUGCAUGUGUAGCGAAUCAGCUCAUGGGGAAAUAUGAAUAAUUAAUAAUAACUAGGAACUCUUCUUUUUGAGGGUGAAAAGGAUCACUUGAUUCCCUCAACAUCACAGAGUUUUCUGGAUAGUGACUUCUUUGUGGUGGCAGGCCGUAUGAUCGGGCACUCAUUCCUGCAUGGUGGUCCAUGCUUAACUGGUUUAAGCCCAGCAAUAAUCCACAUGCUUUUUGGCGGAUCCCCUGAAACAGCCACCAUAGAUAUACUGGACUGUGUGGACACUGAUGUCCGUCAAGUAAUAGAGAUGUUGAAAGGCACAGGUGAAUUAUCAGAGGAAGAAAAGAGGGCUAUUUCAGACCUUGCAGUGUCCUGGGAUUUGCCUGGUGUGACAUCAGAGAACAGAAGAUGGCUGCUUGACAAACUGCUCAUUCAUGCAAUGAUUUUAGAGAGGAUAAUUUGGCCAACACAUGAUGAAGACAGCGAGGCCUCUCUUGAAGACACAUGUAGGCUCACCGGAUUCCUUCGCACCUUCAUCGGAAAUUCUUCUUAUAAUAUCUUGCGGUUUCUAAUAAAAUUCUGGACUAGAUGGGAUGUACUGCCCAGGAGCCUAGACGUUGAGGUGGUGGAUGGAAACCUACCCAAGUCUUCCACAUGCUAUCAAACUCUCAAGCUUCCUAGUCAUUACAAGGACUAUGCUGCCUUUGAGAGAUAUAUUUUAGCUGCUAUCUGGAGCUUAGAUUAUGGAUUUGGAAUGGUCUAAGUUUGUGUUACAAAUAAUAUCAGAUGCCAUAUUUCUACUGGAGGUAGUGUUUAAUUUUUCUAAAUUUUUCAUGUCUAAAUCGGAUAUUCAGUCAGAAGAUCUCAAACCUGUUUGGUAUGUUGCAGUGUUCAGAGCUUUGUAUUCGAUGCCAAAAUAACAUUUGAUAAGAAAUUUAAGAAUUUAUUUGCUUGGAUGUACUAAAAAGAUACUGUUCUAGACAUUUUAGCUUUAUUAAAUGGUUUGGAAGUAGUUUGAGCAACUAAGAAUAUUCACUGGAUGCAAGAGUUAUUAUUAACUGGCACUAAAUGUCAAAAUGCCCCACUUUUUUCUUCCUGGAAAGCCAGCCUGUGAAUUUUGUAAGCAAUUUUGACAUGUAUUCAGAACCUUGUUGUCAAAGUUACACCAAACUAAGCUUUGGUCAAAAGGUUAUUUGAAACAUUUAUUGACUUUGGUACAAGACUGUUCAAAGCCAUCAUUACACAAAUUCAAUAA
This 1509-nucleotide long non-coding RNA is filed under the name Sinocyclocheilus grahami. RNAcentral describes it as "lncRNA (ENSSGRG00000041298.1)". Lineage: Eukaryota; Metazoa; Chordata; Actinopteri; Cypriniformes; Cyprinidae. The record is from RNAcentral.